RNAcentral lists this long non-coding RNA (1553 nucleotides) under Olea europaea subsp. europaea. The record is from RNAcentral. Lineage: Eukaryota; Viridiplantae; Streptophyta; Magnoliopsida; Lamiales; Oleaceae.
UGUUGAUCGAUAAACCUACUAUGAUCAUUCCCCGAGAUUAAUUGAACCCCUGGAUCGAAAAGUUGCAGAUUAAUAAAGAAAACAAUUAUGAGCAGGUCAAGAAUGAUAAUGAAGAAGAAGAUACGUAUUGGGAAGAUUGGAAUAGAGAGAGAGAAAAAGAUGCGUUGUCCAAGGAAUUGAAAGUAAAUUCUAUCAAGAAAAUCAUUGAGAAUAAAUACGAAGCAGCCCUUGAAGAAAUUAGGAGAAAAACUUCUCGAGUCUCAAGAAACCUGUUGUUGAAGCCCCAUUGGAGAGCGACUCAACAAUUAUGUCCUCUAAAUUCACAGAGAGAAAAAGAAAGAGCAAAUCAUGCAAGAAGAAGUUGAAAGUAAUGGCAGAAGUGAAGAAGUAUCUUCAUCAAGAAAUAACAAGAAAAGCCACAUUAAUCUGAGUGAAGAGCCAGCUCCUCCAAUGUCCAUACAAUUCAAAAACGCAAUUCUUACCCUAGCACACUGUAGUGUUGAAUAUUGUUGUUCAAAAUCAAUAAAAGAAUGUGGAAUGAAAAAUGGAACUGGAGGCCGAAAUAUUGGCCAAGGUGGCUUGCGGUCGCAUGGUGAUUUGCAGGGCCUAAUUAAAUGAUCUAUAUGGCCACAUAGGUUUGUUCUAUGCAGUGGCAUAGAACAUUUUUCUAGCCGUCAAAGGCCAUUUUUGUUUGAAUAUCUGAUGGCCUUUCAAGGGUUUUGGCACCACUUCUGAUUGAUGGCUAUAUAUAGGUGGUUGAUGAUCAACGAAAAACAUAUAGAAACAUAUAGCAACACUGGAGAUUAAUUCCUCAUUCCAAAAGGUAUUAAAAUUCAUUUUUCUCUGCAUAUUCAUAUUCAAAUCCUAAUUUUGUGUUCUCAAGUUUUGAAGGAUUUCACUAGUUUUUAAGUGUUAAAUUCUUUCAAGACUUGAUAAAUCCUGCAAACCAUUCGUCAAAAAUCCCUUUAAGCAUCAAAUUCAAUCCAAGAGGGGUAAAUAUCGUUUGAGGACAAGGAUUACGUGUAUAAGCCAUACUUUUCUAUUUCUUCAUAUUGUUGUACGUUUCUUCUCCAUGCCCUAGUGUUGUAAACCAUAUUUCCAACAUGUAGAACUGUCUCAGAAGAAAAUUUUGUCAUACAGAAGCAAUUGUUCCCUACUGAUAUGGCCAAGGAUCAAAAUCGGUUCACCAUUCCAGUGAAUCAGAUUAGACAGAAUUUCCUGAGCAAUGAAGAGGAAAUAUCUGUCAAAGUACUCGAGCAAGGGACGUAAAAUGGCUACGAAAUAGAUGAUAAUUGAGUCAUUGCUCGGAGAAGGAACUGUGAAGUUGAGAAGGUGGGACUUGAAGAAAUAUUCAGGACGUUCAAGCUUGUCAUUCGCGUUUAAUAAAAAUUAGGGGACUCGAUUGAGGUUGGAAAUGUCUUGCAACUUUGGGCCGUUCGAGUUGAUGGAGAAUUGCUGUUUGUGCUUGUCAAGCUUGCCUCAAGAGGAUAGUGGCCAUGUUUUUGUAGUAUUAUGUGUUUCAGUUCUCGUUAAACACUGCAUAGGUUUUCGCA